AGUGAACGCUGGCGGUAGGCCUAACACAUGCAAGUCGAACGGCAGCACAGUAAGAGCUUGCUCUUACGGGUGGCGAGUGGCGGACGGGUGAGGAAUACAUCGGAAUCUACUUUUUCGUGGGGGAUAACGUAGGGAAACUUACGCUAAUACCGCAUACGACCUACGGGUGAAAGCAGGGGAUCUUCGGACCUUGCGCGAUUGAAUGCGCCGAUGUCGGAUUAGCUAGUUGGCGGGGUAAAGGCCCACCAAGGCGACGAUCCGUAGCUGGUGUGAGAGGAUGAUCAGCCACACUGGAACUGAGACACGGUCCAGACUCCUACGGGAGGCAGCAGUGGGGAAUAUUGGACAAUGGGCGCAAGCCUGAUCCAGCCAUACCGCGUGGGUGAAGAAGGCGUUCGGGUUGUAAAGCCCUUUUGUUGGGAAAGAAAAGCAGCAGGUUAAUACCCCGCUGUUCUGACGGUACCCAAAGAAUAAGCACCGGCUAACUUCGUG
Molecule: ribosomal RNA, 492 nt
Filed under: uncultured bacterium
Lineage: Bacteria
Description: partial 16S ribosomal RNA
Rfam family: Bacterial small subunit ribosomal RNA
Source: RNAcentral